UAAGAUUCGCUCUGCGUUCUUCGGCUCACCCCCUUUUCAUGGCAACAUUUCCAUCACUCUCACAAGAAGCAUUAUGUCCCAAGGACAAACCAAUUUCACGCAAAUGGACAACGUGUUUGCUCUGCGACAUUCCCAUCAGCGUCAGUGACACACAAGGAAAACCUGCCUUGUCGCUUCCUAGCAGAAAGGGGAAGCAGACUGCCACUUCACGCACAGCGUGACUUCUCGGCUAUACCAUUUCUUGACUCACUUGCGUUUGCCAAAAGACAGAUGCACUUGCCAUCUAGGAGGAGUUGGCAGGAAAGCAGCGGCCAUGGCACAGCCGUGACUAGCUGGUCCGCCAUACUUAGCAGUCCGCCACAUACAAACUAGAGCUGACGAUGGGAAAACAAAACACAAACCACCACCAAGACCCCAGCAGAAAAGAAACUCAACAAGGCUUACCAUCUAAGACUUCUCUGACCACAAUGGGUUUGAGUCUCCUCCUCUACAGGCUGCUUUACAGAGGUAAUGGAGUAGUUACCAUAUAUCAAACUAUUUUGGAAAGAAACUCCCACCUGCUACUUCUAUUCUUCCAGGAAACUGUUCAAAUGUUCCGAUCAAACGCUGUACCCGCACUUUCUCCAGCCUUCCCUAAGGUGCCAGAACAUCACUUUCGUCCGGAAUGCUUCUCGAACCACAUCUGCAAGAUCCGAUGGUGCUUAAUGAACGUUACAGGAGAGAACCAAUUUGAGACUUUAGGAGAUGCACAGAUGCCAAGGAUGCUGAAAAACUAUUGGAGUUUAAGAAGAAAGGAAAUCACAGAGGUGUGGAACUUGCUCUUCUGGACUACUGGAUUAGCACUCUGUGCUAUUAGAUUAGGGGUUUCCUCGGGGAAGCAACCUCUUAGACAAGGAUGCUUUCCAGGAAUGGCUAAAGGCAACUCUCCAAGCAUGGAGAAGGGGCACUGUUGGAGGGUUUCCCCACAGUCUUGCAUUUAAUGUGGACUACUGCAUUUUUAACAAUGUGAGCCUCCAGGGAACUCAUUCUUUUUUAAGGAAAAAAAAAUUGACCUAAUGCUUUGGCAUUCCAUACAAUGCAUGUUGACUCAUUCUUACGGCACCUGAAAAUUUUGAAUUGUGGCAGGGAGUGUAACUCAAUGUUAGAGAACUUGUCAAAAUGUACAGAAUGCAAGACCAAACUCCAGCACAACAUCAAAAGGGAACGAAAGGACUAUCAGAAUGGAUCUGUUUGCUCAAUAAAGAAAUUUAAACAUCAUCAAAUGUUGUGUGCCAUUCUAGGCAUUGAGCACCAUAGCAAGACAUAAAGCCAGCGUCCAGCCUUUCUCAAGGGUACAGCUGCUUGGAGGAAGGUGUGGAAGAGAAAAAGACAGAAAAAAAGCACAGUUU
Myodes glareolus (Bank vole) is the source of this 1388-nucleotide non-coding RNA. The record is from RefSeq and is a predicted model, not a curated record. NCBI's taxonomy places the organism in Eukaryota, Metazoa, Chordata, Mammalia, Rodentia, Cricetidae.